Molecule: non-coding RNA, 262 nt
Filed under: Carbonactinospora thermoautotrophica
Lineage: Bacteria; Bacillati; Actinomycetota; Actinomycetes; Kitasatosporales; Carbonactinosporaceae
Description: Streptomyces thermoautotrophicus raiA RNA
Rfam family: raiA RNA
Source: Rfam by way of RNAcentral
CCCGUCCGGGUCCGUGGUUGCGCCUGGUGGGGCCUCGGGGGCCGCCCCGAGCCGCCCACCGGGCUAGCCGAUGCCAGCCGCAGGCGAAGCGGCCCACGUAAGGCGACUUCUCGUCGUCCGAUCACGGUGCGGCUUAGAGGUAAGUCCUGCCUCGUCGAAGGUCCAGAUGUCCUUCGAUCCGGGAGAAGGGGAGUAGUGGCGGUAGCGCUGCGAGACCCUCAGCAGGCGGAUGUGGGGUCGAAGACCAGGUCGGCCGGACGGG